AGCUCAGGAACGAACGCUGGCGGCGUGCCUAAUACAUGCAAGUCGAGCGGACAGAAGGGAGCUUGCUCCCGGAUGUUAGCGGCGGACGGGUGAGUAACACGUGGGUAACCUGCCUGUAAGACUGGGAUAACUCCGGGAAACCGGAGCUAAUACCGGAUAGUUCCUUGAACCGCAUGGUUCAAGGAUGAAAGACGGUUUCGGCUGUCACUUACAGAUGGACCCGCGGCGCAUUAGCUAGUUGGUGAGGUAACGGCUCACCAAGGCGACGAUGCGUAGCCGACCUGAGAGGGUGAUCGGCCACACUGGGACUGAGACACGGCCCAGACUCCUACGGGAGGCAGCAGUAGGGAAUCUUCCGCAAUGGACGAAAGUCUGACGGAGCAACGCCGCGUGAGUGAUGAAGGUUUUCGGAUCGUAAAGCUCUGUUGUUAGGGAAGAACAAGUGCAAGAGUAACUGCUUGCACCUUGACGGUACCUAACCAGAAAGCCACGGCUAACUACGUGCCAGCAGCCGCGGUAAUACGUAGGUGGCAAGCGUUGUCCGGAAUUAUUGGGCGUAAAGGGCUCGCAGGCGGUUUCUUAAGUCUGAUGUGAAAGCCCCCGGCUCAACCGGGGAGGGUCAUUGGAAACUGGGAAACUUGAGUGCAGAAGAGGAGAGUGGAAUUCCACGUGUAGCGGUGAAAUGCGUAGAGAUGUGGAGGAACACCAGUGGCGAAGGCGACUCUCUGGUCUGUAACUGACGCUGAGGAGCGAAAGCGUGGGGAGCGAACAGGAUUAGAUACCCUGGUAGUCCACGCCGUAAACGAUGAGUGCUAAGUGUUAGGGGGUUUCCGCCCCUUAGUGCUGCAGCUAACGCAUUAAGCACYCCCSCC
Molecule: ribosomal RNA, 872 nt
Filed under: Bacillus sp. (in: firmicutes)
Lineage: Bacteria; Bacillati; Bacillota; Bacilli; Caryophanales; Bacillaceae
Description: bacterial SSU rRNA
Rfam family: Bacterial small subunit ribosomal RNA
Source: RNAcentral